RNAcentral lists this ribosomal RNA (582 nucleotides) under Escherichia coli. RNAcentral describes it as "partial 23S ribosomal RNA". It matches the Rfam family "Bacterial large subunit ribosomal RNA", at positions 2242 to 2823 of the family's 2925-position model. Lineage: Bacteria; Pseudomonadati; Pseudomonadota; Gammaproteobacteria; Enterobacterales; Enterobacteriaceae. The record is from RNAcentral.
GGGUUGCGGACAGUGUCUGGUGGGUAGUUUGACUGGGGCGGUCUCCUCCUAAAGAGUAACGGAGGAGCACGAAGGUUGGCUAAUCCUGGUCGGACAUCAGGAGGUUAGUGCAAUGGCAUAAGCCAGCUUGACUGCGAGCGUGACGGCGCGAGCAGGUGCGAAAGCAGGUCAUAGUGAUCCGGUGGUUCUGAAUGGAAGGGCCAUCGCUCAACGGAUAAAAGGUACUCCGGGGAUAACAGGCUGAUACCGCCCAAGAGUUCAUAUCGACGGCGGUGUUUGGCACCUCGAUGUCGGCUCAUCACAUCCUGGGGCUGAAGUAGGUCCCAAGGGUAUGGCUGUUCGCCAUUUAAAGUGGUACGCGAGCUGGGUUUAGAACGUCGUGAGACAGUUCGGUCCCUAUCUGCCGUGGGCGCUGGAGAACUGAGGGGGGCUGCUCCUAGUACGAGAGGACCGGAGUGGACGCAUCACUGGUGUUCGGGUUGUCAUGCCAAUGGCACUGCCCGGUAGCUAAAUGCGGAAGAGAUAAGUGCUGAAAGCAUCUAAGCACGAAACUUGCCCCGAGAUGAGUUCUCCCUGAGACUU